CGAGGUGAGGAGGUACGACGCUUAUCUUUCUAGUCAACAGCGGUACCGGUGCCUCUUCAUCACCCUCGAUUCCGUGAAUAGGGAGUCGACCCACCUCUGUCAUCACCACUAACAGCACACACCUCCGCAGAGGGUAUAGCUUUAAGCAAGUACACACACACACACACACACACAAUUACCACACGCAGUGCUCCAUCGUACGUUGUCUCCAUUUUUUCAGUUUAUUUUUUUGUUGACGUGCUCAACAGCGUCGUCGGCUCUGCUCGUGUCUUUUCUCUUUCCUGUCAAGCCUUUCUGUGCGCCGUCUCGUUCUGUUUUCCCUUUCUCCCUCUGUCUCUAUCCACCACUCUCCCCAAAAAGCGCUCCGAGGCACUGGCAGGUAUCGUGUGUGUCUCCCCGUCUUAGGCGAAACUUGCGUGUGCGUAUCACCAACCAGCGCACCACUUAUUAGCGUGUGUGGCGCCGGAUGUCUCGUAUCUUCUACAGAGGCAGAGCACGAAGCAGAAUAGAGAACGGCAGAGAGAGAAAAAAGAGGGGGAGGGGCAGUUGCUGUCUUCACAGUGUAUAUGCUGUUCUAACGCGCAGACGUGUGCACACACGAACACAAAAAGGCGCACACCUACGUAAUCACCGUGCUGAGGUUGCAGCAGCGAGUCACAGUUGUUUCCUUUGCAGUGUUAGCUGUUGGGCCCCACCACACGACCCACCCACGCAUACAAUCAAACGCUUCGAUAGCACACUGCCGUUCCUUUUCUGAACUCCCUCGGCUCAUCCGUUGGGGAGGACUGCGCAGUAGGACAGAGACCCCACACCUUAGUCGCGCAAGUAGAUUGCCCUCGCGGCGCUAUGUCUGUAUCCGCGUCCUCCUCGAGGGCCGCCGCUGCGUCGUCUGGAACCCUCGAUGCCACGGCUACCCCACACACCACCGACGCUGCGAAGGAGACGUUCAAGCUUCUGGUGUGGCGUCUCGUUCUGGUUGACACAGCCGAAGACAGCUCGCAGUGGUCUUCGCGGGCGAAGCAGCAGUGGGGCGGCGGCAAGCCCCUCUUCGUGUCCGUUAGUAACAAAUUCAAGGAGCAUGGCAGCACCUCGUCGCAGAAGCUGGUGUUUGGUAAUCCACAGCAGUCGCAGCAGCAGUCGUGGAGCGGGAUCGAAUGGCGAGAGAGCAAUAUUAUACCAGUGCCGCUGGAUGAUGAUCCUGUGCUGAUGAUCGAGGUUGGCGUGCUCCGGCAUGGCAAGAAAAAUGUGCUGGGGCUUGGUAUAAUCAACACGCAGUCGAUGCUGGCGGAGAACCGCCAGUACACCAAGUUCACCGUUCAUGUGCUGCCGACUCACACUUCGAUUGACGCCUUCACAGUGCACGCGGUGGCAGAGGUGGAGAUCCACAGCAGCCUGCUCCACGAGUCACCCGAUCUCAACUUCACCCCGCUAGAGUACAACUACGGGACCGUGCGAGUAUCCACUGUGGACUUUUACUACCCGUCUUUCUUUCUCACGGGGACGGGUGAGUAUAUUGUCUCCAACGUGCUGUGCGCGAUGAACAUGACAGAGUUCAGCUCCCUGGCUAUGCAGCUGGUUCCGUUGCACUCGGCUGCCAGCUACAUUGCCACGGAGCCGUCUCAGGUGAUUACGGUGCGGCCGCAGCAGCGCGUGUACUUUAGUGCUACCUGGAAUCUGACUAACCGAGCCUGCAUGAAGACGCUGGAAAUGCAACUCAGGGUGAACGGCUCACAGAAGCCGUCGGCACCAGUUCUGAUAAAGGUUCACAAUCAGGUCCCACAGACGUCAGGCAACACAGACCUGCCCUUCCACUACUGGGUGAACACCACCUGCAUCACAAAUCGACAAAUGCUGCCGUCGCAGGAGUUACCCCUCAUCCAUGCCGUUCUUCCAGUGUACCGCUUUAUUAGUCGCAGCGCCCCCAUCAACCAAACAGAGGGCAUGAUCGUGGCGUUCGACAAAGACAAGGGCGAGCAUGUGCUGGUGCGAGCGAAUGGCGUGCCAGUGACAAUGGGCAAGCUUUACGGAACUGGCCAUCAUCAGCAACGACAAUCGCCGCAGCGCCUGUCUUUGCAGAAAGCAGGCAUCAGUGCCUCCGCGCUGAGCAGAGUGGAAAGUAUGGACCUCAACGCUGUCAGCGACUUGACAUCUCCGUUCGGCUUUGACACGAACGCUUCCUUCGUUGUGCGCGAUAGCCGCGUCAGAAACCCAUUCCCGUCGCGCGGGCCGCUGCUGAAUCUCUCACAGAAGACGUGUUUGUGCACCAUUGCUCUUGGGCUGAUUCGCGGGUUUCCCAUGGUGUACGAGGCCACCACCGGCCUGUCUCCAUCCUUCCAAGUGAGUGUGACGCUGCUGGAUCAGCGCGGGUGGCAGAUUGUGCAUGGUGAAACUCUCCCCAGCUACCAUAGCGCCAGCGGCAGCCUGCGAUGGGCGGAGCAGCUGGUCCUGCGGAAGUGGCCAGGAGCGACGUCGCAGCAAUUUGUUCGCCUCAAUCUGACCGAGGUGCGGCCCCGCGACGGGGACGAGACGCCGAUCGGCGCUGGUCUCAUCUCCCUCCCCAGCAUGCAGCGCCUAUACACACAGAACCCGCUGAGCGUCGCCUUCUAUGUGUACGAGACGUACUCCUUGUACGAUCAGCUGAACUCGUCAUCCCUGUUAAUGAAAGACGUCAACGUGAUGUUCUCGGAGCUGCGCUGACAAUAGAGACGUGCCUCUGCGCCGUGACGUCGUAUUGCUUUCUUCCUCGCUCUUCGUUUUGUUUGCCCGAGAUGGUCCACUGUGACACCCCGAC
This 2791-nucleotide unclassified non-coding RNA is filed under the name Leishmania donovani. Its description in RNAcentral is "gene:LdHU3.22.2000(CDS-product:hypothetical_prote in_conserved)". Lineage: Eukaryota; Euglenozoa; Kinetoplastea; Trypanosomatida; Trypanosomatidae. The record is from RNAcentral.